Molecule: ribosomal RNA, 279 nt
Filed under: uncultured bacterium
Lineage: Bacteria
Description: partial 16S ribosomal RNA
Rfam family: Bacterial small subunit ribosomal RNA
Source: RNAcentral
GAACCUACGGGAGGCAGCAGUGGGGAAUAUUGCACAAUGGGUGAAACCCUGAUGCAGCGACGCCGCGUGAGUGAAGGAGUAUUUCGGUAUGUAAAGCUCUCUCAGCAGGGAAGAAAAUGACGGUACCUGACUAAGAAGCCCCGGCUAACUACGUGCCAGCAGCCGCGGUAAUACGUAGGGGGCAAGCGUUAUCCGGAUUUACUGGGUGUAAAGGGAGAGUAGGCGGCAAGGUAAGCCAGAAGUGAAAGCCCGCGGCUCAACUGCGGGAAUGCUUUUGGA